AACGAACGCUGGCGGCAUGCCUAACACAUGCAAGUCGAACGAGGCCUUCGGGUCUAGUGGCGCACGGGUGCGUAACGCGUGGGAACCUGCCCUUAGCUUCGGAAUAACUCCCCGAAAGGGGUGCUAAUACCGGAUAAUGUCUUCGGGCCAAAGAUUUAUCGGCUUUGGAUGGGCCCGCGUUGGAUUAGCUAGUUGGUAGGGUAAAAGCCUACCAAGGCGACGAUCCAUAGCUGGUCUGAGAGGAUGAUCAGCCACACUGGGACUGAGACACGGCCCAGACUCCUACGGGAGGCAGCAGUGGGGAAUAUUAGACAAUGGGCGAAAGCCUGAUCCAGCAAUGCCGCGUGAGUGAUGAAGGCCUUAGGGUUGUAAAGCUCUUUUACCCGGGAUGAUAAUGACAGUACCGGGAGAAGAAGCUCCGGCUAACUCCGUG
RNAcentral lists this ribosomal RNA (433 nucleotides) under uncultured bacterium. RNAcentral's name for it is "partial 16S ribosomal RNA". It matches the Rfam family "Bacterial small subunit ribosomal RNA", at positions 29 to 507 of the family's 1533-position model. The record is from RNAcentral.